This 334-nucleotide ribosomal RNA is filed under the name Salmonella enterica subsp. enterica serovar Newport. Its description in RNAcentral is "partial 23S ribosomal RNA". It matches the Rfam family "Bacterial large subunit ribosomal RNA", at positions 858 to 1190 of the family's 2925-position model. Lineage: Bacteria; Pseudomonadati; Pseudomonadota; Gammaproteobacteria; Enterobacterales; Enterobacteriaceae. The record is from RNAcentral.
CCCGAAAGCUAUUUAGGUAGCGCCUCGUGAAUUCAUCUCCGGGGGUAGAGCACUGUUUCGGCUAGGGGGCCAUCCCGGCUUACCAACCCGAUGCAAACUGCGAAUACCGGAGAAUGUUAUCACGGGAGACACACGGCGGGUGCUAACGUCCGUCGUGAAGAGGGAAACAACCCAGACCGCCAGCUAAGGUCCCAAAGUCAUGGUUAAGUGGGAAACGAUGUGGGAAGGCCCAGACAGCCAGGAUGUUGGCUUAGAAGCAGCCAUCAUUUAAAGAAAGCGUAAUAGCUCACUGGUCGAGUCGGCCUGCGCGGAAGAUGUAACGGGGCUAAACCAU